RNAcentral lists this long non-coding RNA (553 nucleotides) under Mus pahari (shrew mouse). RNAcentral's name for it is "lncRNA (MGP_PahariEiJ_G0004653.1)". The record is from RNAcentral. Lineage: Eukaryota; Metazoa; Chordata; Mammalia; Rodentia; Muridae.
CAGUUAAGCAGUGUGUCUGCUUACUUGCUGUUAUAUAACUUUAGACUAAAGGACAAUGCUUGACAGAGUCAGUAUUUAAAAAUCUGUCCAAGGUGCCUUUGUUUGGUGUUCUCCGACUAGUGUUUGAGCAGUAUAUGCACAAGCAGGUUUGAUGACAUGUCUUUAAUGUCUUUGCAAAUUUAAUUUUCAUUGUGGAAACCUACAUCCCUUCAAUUUCUGGGCCAAUUAUCCUAGAAAAAGUUAACGCUAGGGUUCUUCUCACAGCUGCCAAAACUUGAAUUGGAGAUGCUAGAGAGGAAGAUGUAGAAAAUGGACAAAACAUUGUCCUGUUUCGAUAAGGAUGAACGAGAGCUUACCCUUGCCUCUCUACAUCCACAGCAGCUUGGUGAUUCUGGACCCAGUCUGAAAAUGUAGAAGCUGAGCUGAGACUGAUUUCCAUUGAGCAGUUCUUAAAGUGUGACAUAUGAAGCAGCAGCACUUUAGAUGAUUUUAGGGUGUGUGGACAAACUUUGUUAUCAUGUCAAUUAUAGAUAUAUUUAAUGACCAUAGAAAA